UACGUAGGGUGCGAGCGUUGUCCGGAAUUAUUGGGCGUAAAGAGCUCGUAGGCGGUGUGUCGCGUCGGUCGUGAAAACUUGGGGCUUAACCCUGAGCUUGCGGUCGAUACGGGCAUCACUGGAGUUCGGCAGGGGAGACUGGAAUUCCUGGUGUAGCGGUGAAAUGCGCAGAUAUCAGGAGGAACACCGGUGGCGAAGGCGGGUCUCUGGGCAUCUCCUGACGCUGAGGCGCGAAAGCGUGGGGAGCAAACGGG
This 254-nucleotide ribosomal RNA is filed under the name uncultured bacterium. Its description in RNAcentral is "partial 16S ribosomal RNA". It matches the Rfam family "Bacterial small subunit ribosomal RNA", at positions 524 to 776 of the family's 1533-position model. The record is from RNAcentral.